CCUACGGGGGGCAGCAGUGAGGAAUAUUGGUCAAUGGACGAGAGUCUGAACCAGCCAAGUAGCGUGAAGGAUGACUGCCCUAUGGGUUGUAAACUUCUUUUAUAUGGGAAUAAAAUGUUCCACGUGUGGGAUUUUGUAUGUACCAUAUGAAUAAGGAUCGGCUAACUUCGUGCCAGCAGCCGCGGUAAUACGGGGGAUCCGAGCGUUAUCCGGAUUUGUUGGGUUUAAAGGGAGCGGAGGGGGAUUGUUAAGUCAGUUGUGAAAGUUUGCGGCUCAACCGUAAAAUUGCAGUUGAAACUGGCAGGCUUGAGUACAGUAGAGGUGGGCGGAAUUCGAGGUGUAGCGGUGAAAUGCUUAGAUAUCACGAAGAACUCCGAUUGCGAAGGCAGUUCACUGGACUGAAACUGACACUGAGGUUCGAAAGUGUGGGUAUCAAACAGGAUUAGAUACCCGAGUAGUC
Molecule: ribosomal RNA, 460 nt
Filed under: uncultured bacterium
Lineage: Bacteria
Description: partial 16S ribosomal RNA
Rfam family: Bacterial small subunit ribosomal RNA
Source: RNAcentral